UAUUAAUAUCAUAAUUUUACUAGCUUUACAGUGACAGUUUGUUUGGAAGAGCAAUACUAAAGCAUGCUGAUCUUCAAUCUGCUUACACACCCGUAUAUCUUUAUCAGUUCUCGUACUAUGGAGCACGUCAUGUCAUGGAGCCCUUCAUUGAUGGUGCUGAAAAGGUAGCCCAUUCUUCCGAUCUUCCUUACCUAUUUUACUGGCCUCGAUCGGCCCAAGCUGAAGAUUUAUUGGUACAGAAUAGGCUCGUCAAACUCUGGACCAACUUUGCUAAAUAUUUAAAUCCAACUCCGGAGGAAUCUGCACUAUUCAACAAUGUAAUUUGGACUCCACAUACUGAGGAAAAUUCAAUUUAUUUAAAUAUUAAUACUACACUAGAGUUAAACACUCAUUUGAAGGAAAGAACAAUGGCAGGUUGGGCCGAAAUAUUCGAACUCUAUGGCAAAAAACCUUUAAUUACAUAUUAAAACACGUAAUGUGUUUUUGUACAGUUGUAAAAUACCAAAAUCAAUUCCGUUGCAGAAUAUAAAUAUUGUGCUUACAGUUUGUUUAUGAAAAUUAUUUACAAAUGAUGCAAAUAAAUAUAUUGAGACAA
Molecule: long non-coding RNA, 595 nt
Organism: Dendroctonus ponderosae (mountain pine beetle)
Lineage: Eukaryota; Metazoa; Arthropoda; Insecta; Coleoptera; Curculionidae
Exons: 3
Source: RefSeq, a predicted model, not a curated record